GCGGAAGUGGCGAAAUCGGCAGCCGCGCGGGUUUUAGGUGCCCGUGCCCGAGAGGGCGUGGGGGUUCGAGUCCCCUCUUCCGCACGA
RNAcentral lists this transfer RNA (87 nucleotides) under Actinoplanes missouriensis 431. RNAcentral describes it as "tRNA-Leu (TAG)". It matches the Rfam family "tRNA". Rfam says of the family: Transfer RNA (tRNA) molecules are approximately 80 nucleotides in length. The record is from RNAcentral. Lineage: Bacteria; Bacillati; Actinomycetota; Actinomycetes; Micromonosporales; Micromonosporaceae.